UUGCGGAUCAGGUAGGGAUACCCGCUGAACUUAAGCAUAUCAAUAAGCGGAGGAAAAGAAACCAACCGGGAUUGCCUCAGUAA
This 83-nucleotide ribosomal RNA is filed under the name Aspergillus tubingensis. RNAcentral describes it as "partial 28S ribosomal RNA". It matches the Rfam family "Eukaryotic large subunit ribosomal RNA", at positions 1 to 86 of the family's 3401-position model. Lineage: Eukaryota; Fungi; Ascomycota; Eurotiomycetes; Eurotiales; Aspergillaceae. The record is from RNAcentral.